GUUCUAUUCCAAAUCAGAUCAAAUCUCAUAAACAUACAGAGAAGAUUAGCAUGGCCCCUGUGCAAGGAUGGUAUGCAAAUUUGUGAAUAUAUAUAAAAAGGA
Molecule: small nuclear RNA, 102 nt
Filed under: Salvator merianae (Argentine black and white tegu)
Lineage: Eukaryota; Metazoa; Chordata; Lepidosauria; Squamata; Teiidae
Source: RNAcentral